AGAGUUUGAUCAUGGCUCAGGAUGAACGCUAGCUACAGGCUUAACACAUGCAAGUCGAGGGGAAACGACAUCGAAAGCUUGCUUUUGAUGGGCGUCGACCGGCGCACGGGUGAGUAACGCGUAUCCAACCUGCCCACCACUUGGGGAUAACCUUGCGAAAGUAAGACUAAUACCCAAUGACGUCUCUAGAAGACAUCUGAAAGAGAUUAAAGAUUUAUCGGUGAUGGAUGGGGAUGCGUCUGAUUAGCUUGUUGGCGGGGUAACGGCCCGCCAAGGCUACGAUCAGUAGGGGUUCUGAGAGGAAGGUCCCCCANAUUGGAACUGAGACACGGUCCAAACUCAUACGGGAGCA
This 352-nucleotide ribosomal RNA is filed under the name uncultured bacterium. Its description in RNAcentral is "bacterial SSU rRNA". It matches the Rfam family "Bacterial small subunit ribosomal RNA", at positions 8 to 349 of the family's 1533-position model. The record is from RNAcentral.